AUCGCUCUAACGGGGUGCCGACCGCAAUCUUUUUGCGGCUGCUGAGAGGUUUUCGAACCAACCCGUCGAACCUGAUCCGGCUUGCACCGGCGGAGGGAUUUAGACGCUAGCCAAAG
This 116-nucleotide non-coding RNA is filed under the name Mesorhizobium sp. Root554. RNAcentral's name for it is "TPP riboswitch aptamer (THI element)". It matches the Rfam family "TPP riboswitch aptamer (THI element)". Rfam says of the family: Vitamin B(1) in its active form thiamin pyrophosphate (TPP) is an essential coenzyme that is synthesised by coupling of pyrimidine and thiazole moieties in bacteria. The previously detected thiamin-regulatory element, thi box was extended, resulting in a new, highly conserved RNA secondary structure, the THI element, which is widely distributed in eubacteria and also occurs in some archaea. Lineage: Bacteria; Pseudomonadati; Pseudomonadota; Alphaproteobacteria; Hyphomicrobiales; Phyllobacteriaceae. RNAcentral also lists the same sequence under 1 other name. The record is from Rfam by way of RNAcentral.